This 503-nucleotide ribosomal RNA is filed under the name uncultured bacterium. RNAcentral's name for it is "partial 16S ribosomal RNA". It matches the Rfam family "Bacterial small subunit ribosomal RNA", at positions 30 to 523 of the family's 1533-position model. The record is from RNAcentral.
AUUGAACGCUGGCGGCAGGCUUAACACAUGCAAGUCGAGCGGAGUGAUGGUGCUUGCACUAUCACUUAGUGGCGGACGGGUGAGUAAUGCUUAGGAAUCUGCCUAUUAGUGGGGGACAACAUCUCGAAAGGGAUGCUAAUACCGCAUACGUCCUACGGGAGAAAGCAGGGGAUCACUUGUGACCUUGCGCUAAUAGAUGAGCCUAAGUCGGAUUAGCUAGUUGGUGGGGUAAAGGCCUACCAAGGCGACGAUCUGUAGCGGGUCUGAGAGGAUGAUCCGCCACACUGGGACUGGGACACGGCCCAGACUCCUACGGGAGGCAGCAGUGGGGAAUAUUGGACAAUGGGGGGAACCCUGAUCCAGCCAUGCCGCGUGUGUGAAGAAGGCCUUAUGGUUGUAAAGCACUUUAAGCGAGGAGGAGGCUCUUUUGGUUAAUACCCAAGAUGAGUGGACGUUACUCGCAGAAUAAGCACCGGCUAACUCUGUGCCAGCAGCCGCGGUAA